UACGAAGGGUGCAAACGUUGCUCGGAAUUAUUGGGCGUAAAGCGCACGUAGGCGGCUUUGCAAGUCGGAUGUGAAAUCCCACGGCUUAACCGUGGAAGUGCAUCCGAAACUGCAGAGCUUGAGUACUUAAGAGGAUCGCGGAAUUCUCGGUGUAGCAGUGAAAUGCGUAGAUAUCGAGAGGAACACCAGUGGCGAAGGCGAGUCCCUGGACAACUCCUGACACUGAGGCACGAAAGCUAGGGGAGCAAACAGG
RNAcentral lists this ribosomal RNA (253 nucleotides) under uncultured bacterium. Its description in RNAcentral is "partial 16S ribosomal RNA". It matches the Rfam family "Bacterial small subunit ribosomal RNA", at positions 524 to 776 of the family's 1533-position model. The record is from RNAcentral.